Molecule: long non-coding RNA, 1034 nt
Organism: Coccinella septempunctata (seven-spotted ladybird)
Lineage: Eukaryota; Metazoa; Arthropoda; Insecta; Coleoptera; Coccinellidae
Exons: 3
Source: RefSeq, a predicted model, not a curated record
AGUCGUAGUUCAUAAAUAAGGAAAAAUCCAAAAUCGAUCAAAUUAUAAUUGUCUGAGUGAAGAUGUGAGAAUUGUUUUGAGUACAUUACUACAGUUCAUCAUCAGAAUGAAGUCAAGAUUUUUGGAUUCAGAAUGAAAUAAAUAUUCAAGAAUAACAACAACAUUCUCUCCAUUGAUUUUCCCAUUUAGAUAAAACAGUUUGUUUCGUUUCCAAUUGAUUGUUUUCGUUUCAGGAUCUAGAAGUAUUGUUAGAACCGUUAGAAUUUGAGUAAGAAUUGCCAUUCAAAUCAUAGGAUGGAUUGAAACAUUUGAUUUCCCAAUCAAGUUUUACGAAAUAUGGCGUUCACAAAUAUUGAAAAUGACUACUAAAAACUUAUUGUUAUUAUAUAAACAUGUAUUUCAAUAUGAAUUGAUCCUUUGAGACUUCUCCUCAAAAGAACAAGUGAUUGUUGAUCACUUCACGAUGAAUUGAAUUUAUCAGAACGACCCUUGAAGAGAAUUCAAUUUGAGAGAGCAACCUCGGAGCACGCAGAACAAUUCAAGGUUAGAUGAGCGAAGGUUAUGUCAAAUUUUACUUUUCCGUAGAGAGUAAAUGAGCAGGACUUAAAAAAGCAAAUCAUUUGAAACUAUUUAAGUGGAUGAAAAUUGUGAUGUGGUCUGUAGAAACAGAUUCCAGUGGAUUUUGCCAGAUAUCGAAUAAUGAGAAUUGAUUCUUCUACGCUGCCACUUUUGAGAAGUUAUACUAGGAUGGAAAAGAAAAUCAUUUGAAGUAUCCUGUGCAAAAUGUUUAGAUCUUGCAAGGUUUAUUUCCAAACAUAUGUAACAUCUUUAAUAACAGAGGUUUAUGCUACUGUAAUAAUAAGAGUCACAUUUCAAGAAAAAUGUAUAAUACUGUUAUAUUCUUCAAUCAAUAAAUAUUCUUACAUUGCUACCUUAUUGCUAUGAUUGAUAAACAGUGAACAUUAUUUGAAUCUAUCAUGAAAAAUUAAAUGUUAAUUUUCUGCAUUACAUGAAAUAUGAAAAGCCCUCUCCUU